RNAcentral lists this long non-coding RNA (428 nucleotides) under Brassica napus (rape). Its description in RNAcentral is "long non-coding RNA (BNAP_LNC014174)". Lineage: Eukaryota; Viridiplantae; Streptophyta; Magnoliopsida; Brassicales; Brassicaceae. The record is from RNAcentral.
GGUUGAUUGAUAUGACACUCAUAAAGAGUGUUUGAUUUAUUAUGUUUUAAUGGUUUAUUGCUUAAAUCGGUCAUGCUUUAUGAUCUUGAAUAUUGAUUGUUGAACUACUCGUUUUGCUUGUGUUUGGGGUGGGGUUUAGAAUGACAGGUAGCUGUAUAUGCUAGAUAGGGAACCCUGACUCACUGAGUAAAACUAGUUCACUCACUCCUCACAUCCUUUUGCAGGUGACCAGUAGAAAGGACCAUAACGCUCGCGAAACUGUAGGAGCUGGUGUAGAAUGGAUAUCUUUUGCUAAAGACUCGUUUUCAAGAUAUAGGAAUGUAUGUUUUACUUUUGGCUGCGUCCAUGGACCCUAUGUAUAAUAUUUUGGGCUUGUGAACUUCGUGUUUUAUAUAUAUGAAAAAAAUAUGUUUAUAAUCGUGACGUGU